GCAUUAAGCACUCCGCCUGGGGAGUACGACCGCAAGGUUGAAACUCAAAGGAAUUGACGGGGGCCCGCACAAGCGGUGGAGCAUGUGGUUUAAUUCGAAGCAACGCGAAGAACCUUACCAGGUCUUGACAUCCUUUGACCACUCUGGAGACAGAGCUUUCCCUUCGGGGACAAAGUGACAGGUGGUGCAUGGUUGUCGUCAGCUCGUGUCGUGAGAUGUUGGGUUAAGUCCCGCAACGAGCGCAACCCUUGAUUUUAGUUGCCAGCAUUUAGUUGGGCACUCUAAAGUGACUGCCGGUGCAAGCCGGAGGAAGGUGGGGAUGACGUCAAAUCAUCAUGCCCCUUAUGACCUGGGCUACACACGUGCUACAAUGGAUAGUACAAAGGGUCGCGAAGCCGCGAGGUGGAGCUAAUCCCAUAAAACUAUUCUCAGUUCGGAUUGUAGGCUGCAACUCGCCUACAUGAAGCCGGAAUCGCUAGUAAUCGUGGAUCAGCAUGCCACGGUGAAUACGUUCCCGGGCCUUGUACACACCGCCCGUCACACCACGAGAGUUUGUAACACCCGAAGUCGGUAGGGUAACCUUUAUGGAGCCAGCCGCCGAAGGUGGGACAGAUAAUUGGGGUGAAGUCGUAACAAGGUAGCCGUAUCGGAAGGUGCGGCUGGAUCACCUCCUUUCUAAGGAA
This 683-nucleotide ribosomal RNA is filed under the name Listeria monocytogenes. Its description in RNAcentral is "bacterial SSU rRNA". It matches the Rfam family "Bacterial small subunit ribosomal RNA", at positions 857 to 1533 of the family's 1533-position model. RNAcentral also lists the same sequence under 1 other name. Lineage: Bacteria; Bacillati; Bacillota; Bacilli; Caryophanales; Listeriaceae. The record is from RNAcentral.